CAGCCGCCACGGUAAUACGUAGGGUGCAAGCGUUAUCCGGAUUUAUUGGGUUUAAAGGGUCCGUAGGCGGAUCUGUAAGUCAGUGGUGAAAUCUCACAGCUUAACUGUGAAACUGCCAUUGAUACUGCAGGUCUUGAGUAAAUUUGAAGUGGCUGGAAUAAGUAGUGUAGCGGUGAAAUGCAUAGAUAUUACUUAGAACACCAAUUGCGAAGGCAGGUCACUAAGAUUUAACUGACGCUGAUGGACGAAAGCGUGGGGAGCGAACAGGAUUAGAUACCCGAGUAGUCCCUGUCUCUUAUAA
This 301-nucleotide ribosomal RNA is filed under the name uncultured bacterium. RNAcentral describes it as "partial 16S ribosomal RNA". It matches the Rfam family "Bacterial small subunit ribosomal RNA", at positions 509 to 809 of the family's 1533-position model. The record is from RNAcentral.